GCUCAGAGGUAAGCAGGUGGAGUUGAACUGCAAGCUUUGAGAAUUCAGCUGGUGAGGUUGGUUUGGGCUUGGUCAAAUUGGUUGGGCCCCGAAGUACGUUAAACCACGUGUCCUUUCCCUUUGGGUUGGGAUGUGCGAUACACUUACCAAGUGUUGCACGCUUUGGGUGUUCAUCGAGCCUCCUUGUCAGUGCACUUUCUCAGAGUGGUCACCACGACCGACGCCGCUGUCAGGCUGUCAUAGUUAAACCGGUCUUGUAGUGUCCUUGUGGCAUUGCCUGGUCGGGAUGGCAGGUAGCUUGUUGGCUCGCUUCGGCUUGCUUUCGAGUGUAAUCAGCUGACUGUGACGGUUCUGUGCAGUGCGUCGGAGACGGCGGCCAGUGGUGUGUGCAUGCGUGCCCGAUUUGUUGGCGUACCCUGGUUUGGUUUCUGUGUUGCCUGUGAUAGCAGGCCUAGUUAUGGCUGGGGUUCGUUCGGCGAAUGGUUGCGUGUGUGGCACUUCCAAGGGCCAAUAGUCUGUGGUGUAGUGGUAGACUAUCCACCUGACCCGUCUUGAAACACGGAA
RNAcentral lists this ribosomal RNA (564 nucleotides) under Dicrocoelium dendriticum. RNAcentral's name for it is "partial large subunit ribosomal RNA". The record is from RNAcentral. Lineage: Eukaryota; Metazoa; Platyhelminthes; Trematoda; Plagiorchiida; Dicrocoeliidae.